Molecule: long non-coding RNA, 700 nt
Organism: Hippocampus zosterae (dwarf seahorse)
Lineage: Eukaryota; Metazoa; Chordata; Actinopteri; Syngnathiformes; Syngnathidae
Exons: 2
Source: RefSeq, a predicted model, not a curated record
CAUCUACCAUACAAGGCUAAAGAAUGUCAAAUAUGAGGGCGGGCAGGGAAUCCAUGAAAUGAGCUUCUCCCUCUUUUGCUUCACUGGAUAGGAACACAUUCACUGUGUAUAGCUGUGAGAAUUCAAGGACGAAAACAGAAAGCCACAUGUGGUAGCACACAAAGGACACACAUAGUGAAAUAUUGACAAACCAACAGUUCCCAGGCCUCAGGAGGUGGAAGCUGUGCUAGCUCAGCUGCUCCUGACUUACCACAAGCAAGUAAGCUCCUCGGUGAAACAACAACCCCGGUACCAUCGGGACAGACGAGGCUACCAGCAUUUGACAGUUUAGGCUUUGUAGUUUUGUAAUCUUAUAAUUCCUUUGCCAACGGCUCGGGAGCUUGGAGCAGCACCUCAAACUUGUCGCCUGGCAAGACGUUUUCCUUUCCCUGACUGCAGUUCAACAUCCAAACCGCACAGUAGAAGGCCUGCCACUACCACCACUGAUGGAAAAAAUUGAACCCUUACAGCAGACGUUCCCUACAAAGCCAGGCUUUAUUUACACGAGGCUCCAGUGACACUAUUGAGGCCAAGUGGUAUAGAACAUGGAUGGAUGGAAGAAAAAAUGAUGAUGCAUCACAUUCGGUAGAUGAAUGAAUAAUAUGAUGCACUGCCGUUGCACACUUCUCUGACGUUAUCAAUUAAAGCGGAGCAUUGUUAU